AGAGUUUGAUCAUGGCUCAGAUUGAACGCUGGCGGCGUGCCUAACACAUGCAAGUCGAGCGGUAACAGGUGUAGCAAUACAUGCUGACGAGCGGCGAACGGGUGAGUAAUGCUUCGGAAUCUACCCUCUAGUGGGGAAUAACCAGCCGAAAGGUUGGCUAAUACCGCAUACGUCCUACGGGAGAAAGCAGGGGAUCGUAAGACCUUGCGCUGAUGGAUGAGCCGAAGUCGGAUUAGCUAGUUGGUGAGGUAACGGCUCACCAAGGCGACGAUCCGUAGCUGGUCUGAGAGGACGACCAGCCACACUGGGACUGAGACACGGCCCAGACUCCUACGGGAGGCAGCAGUGGGGAAUAUUGGACAAUGGGGGCAACCCUGAUCCAGCGACGCCGCGUGUGUGAAGAAGGCCUGCGGGUUGUAAAGCACUUUUAGUGGGGAUGAAAUGUGCAGGGUUAAUACCUCUGCAUUUUGACCUAACCCACAGAAAAAGCACCGGCUAACUCUGUGCCAGCAGCCGCGGUAAUACAGAGGGUGCAAGCGUUAAUCGGAAUUACUGGGCGUAAAGCGUGCGCAGACGGUUAUAUAAGUCGGGUGUGAAAGCCCCGGGCUCAACCUGGGAAUUGCAUUCGAGACUGUGUAGCUAGGGUACGGAAGAGGGAAGCGGAAUUUCAGGUGUAGCGGUGAAAUGCGUAGAUAUCUGAAGGAACACCAGUGGCGAAAGCGGCUUCCUGGUCCAGUACCGACGUUCAGGCACGAAAGCGUGGGGAGCAAACAGGAUUAGAUACCCUAGUAGUCC
This 795-nucleotide ribosomal RNA is filed under the name uncultured bacterium. RNAcentral describes it as "bacterial SSU rRNA". It matches the Rfam family "Bacterial small subunit ribosomal RNA", at positions 8 to 796 of the family's 1533-position model. The record is from RNAcentral.